Molecule: ribosomal RNA, 484 nt
Filed under: uncultured bacterium
Lineage: Bacteria
Description: partial 16S ribosomal RNA
Rfam family: Bacterial small subunit ribosomal RNA
Source: RNAcentral
AUUGAACGCUGGUGGCAGGCCUAACACAUGCAAGUCGAGCGGAUGAAGGGAGCUUGCUCCUGGAUUCAGCGGCGGACGGGUGAGUAAUGCCUAGGAAUCUGCCUGGUAGUGGGGGAUAACGUCCGGAAACGGGCGCUAAUACCGCAUACGUCCUGAGGGAGAAAGUGGGGGAUCUUCGGACCUCACGCUAUCAGAUGAGCCUAGGUCGGAUUAGCUAGUUGGUGGGGUAAAGGCCUACCAAGGCGACGAUCCGUAACUGGUCUGAGAGGAUGAUCAGUCACACUGGAACUGAGACACGGUCCAGACUCCUACGGGAGGCAGCAGUGGGGAAUAUUGGACAAUGGGCGAAAGCCUGAUCCAGCCAUGCCGCGUGUGUGAAGAAGGUCUUCGGAUUGUAAAGCACUUUAAGUUGGGAGGAAGGGCAGCAAGUUAAUACCUUGCUGUUUUGACGUUACCAACAGAAUAAGCACCGGCUAACUUCGUG